Taeniopygia guttata (zebra finch) is the source of this 292-nucleotide non-coding RNA. Lineage: Eukaryota; Metazoa; Chordata; Aves; Passeriformes; Estrildidae. The record is from RefSeq and is a predicted model, not a curated record.
AGGAUUGGCUACUAUUUGAUUUCGAUCCUCCAUAUUGGUCAGAUGAGGACUCAGAGGACAGGGAGCAGAACCAGCAGUACCCACAUGUUUCCAGUGCAGCAGGGAAUUCAGCUGAUGUACUGGCAAGCAAUGAUGAAGAGGAACCAAGAGAUGUUGAAGGUUCUGCUCUCUCUAGGGAUUGGCUACCAUUUGAUUUCGAUCUUCCAUAUUGGUCAGAUGAGGACUCAGAGGUGAGGAUCCACAUGUUCUUGUCCUUUAUGGUUUGUGGGAGGGAAAGGGACAAAAGAGGAGC